CCUACGGGGGGCUGCAGUGAGGAAUAUUGGUCAAUGGACGAGAGUCUGAACCAGCCAAGUAGCGUGAAGGAUGACUGCCCUAUGGGUUGUAAACUUCUUUUAUAAAGGAAUAAAACGAGGCACGUGUGCCUUUUUGCAUGUACUUUAUGAAUAAGGAUCGGCUAACUCCGUGCCAGCAGCCGCGGUAAUACGGAGGAUCCGAGCGUUAUCCGGAUUUAUUGGGUUUAAAGGGAGCGUAGAUGGGUUGUUAAGUCAGUUGUGAAAGUUUGCGGCUCAACCCCGGCGAGCCGUUGAAACUGGCGGGCUGGAGUUGGAGAGAAGUACGCGGAAUGCGCGGUGUAGCGGUGAAAUGCUUAGAUAUCGCGCAGAACCCCGAUUGCGAAGGCAGCGUACCGGCUCCACACUGACGCUGAGGCACGAAAGCGUGGGUAUCGAACAGGAUUAGAUACCCCAGUAGUC
RNAcentral lists this ribosomal RNA (459 nucleotides) under uncultured bacterium. Its description in RNAcentral is "partial 16S ribosomal RNA". It matches the Rfam family "Bacterial small subunit ribosomal RNA", at positions 338 to 795 of the family's 1533-position model. The record is from RNAcentral.